GACGAACGCUGGCGGCGUGCCUAACACAUGCAAGUCGAACGGAGAUUUGAGAGCUUGCUUUCAAAUCUUAGUGGCGGACGGGUGAGUAACGCGUGAGUAACCUGCCUCUCAGAGGGGGAUAACAUUCUGAAAAGAAUGCUAAUACCGCAUGACAUUCCUUUCUCGCAUGGGGAGGGAAUCAAAGGAGCAAUCCGCUGAGAGAUGGACUCGCGUCCGAUUAGCCAGUUGGCGGGGUAACGGCCCACCAAAGCGACGAUCGGUAGCCGGACUGAGAGGUUGAACGGCCACAUUGGGACUGAGACACGGCCCAGACUCCUACGGGAGGCAGCAGUGGGGGAUAUUGCACAAUGGGGGAAACCCUGAUGCAGCAACGCCGCGUGAAGGAAGAAGGUCUUCGGAUUGUAAACUUUUGUCCUCAGUGAAGAUAAUGACGGUAGCUGAGGAGGAAGCUCCGGCUAACUACGUGCCAGCAGCCGCGGUAAUACGUAGGGAGCGAGCGUUGUCCGGAUUUACUGGGUGUAAAGGGUGCGUAGGCGGACUGGCAAGUCAGUGGUGAAAACUAUGGGCUUAACCCAUAGACUGCCAUUGAAACUGUUGGUCUUGAGUGAAGUAGAGGUAGGCGGAAUUCCCGGUGUAGCGGUGAAAUGCGUAGAGAUCGGGAGGAACACCAGUGGCGAAGGCGGCCUACUGGGCUUUAACUGACGCUGAGGCACGAAAGUGUGGGUAGCAAACAGG
This 735-nucleotide ribosomal RNA is filed under the name uncultured Lachnospiraceae bacterium. RNAcentral's name for it is "bacterial SSU rRNA". It matches the Rfam family "Bacterial small subunit ribosomal RNA", at positions 28 to 776 of the family's 1533-position model. The record is from RNAcentral. Lineage: Bacteria; Bacillati; Bacillota; Clostridia; Lachnospirales; Lachnospiraceae.